UGCAGUCGAACGAUGAACCUCCUUCGGGAGGGGAUUAGUGGCGAACGGGUGAGUAACACGUGGGCAAUCUGCCCUUCACUCUGGGACAAGCCCUGGAAACGGGGUCUAAUACCGGAUAACACUGCGGAUCGCAUGGUCUGCGGUUAAAAGCUCCGGCGGUGAAGGAUGAGCCCGCGGCCUAUCAGCUAGUUGGUGGGGUAAUGGCCUACCAAGGCGACGACGGGUAGCCGGCCUGAGAGGGCGACCGGCCACACUGGGACUGAGACACGGCCCAGACUCCUACGGGAGGCAGCAGUGGGGAAUAUUGCACAAUGGGCGAAAGCCUGAUGCAGCGACGCCGCGUGAGGGAUGACGGCCUUCGGGUUGUAAACCUCUUUCAGCAGGGAAGAAGCGAAAGUGACGGUACCUGCAGAAGAAGCGCCGGCUAACUACGUGCCAGCAGCCGCGGUAAUACGUAGGGCGCAAGCGUUGUCCGGAAUUAUUGGGCGUAAAGAGCUCGUAGGCGGCUUGUCACGUCGGAUGUGAAAGCCCGGGGCUUAACCCCGGGUCUGCAUUCGAUACGGGCAGGCUAGAGUGUGGUAGGGGAGAUCGGAAUUCCUGGUGUAGCGGUGAAAUGCGCANAUAUCNNAGGAACACCGGUGGCGANNNNGGAUCUCUGGGNCAUUACUGACGCUGNNNGCGAAAGCGUGGGGANCGAACAGGAUUANAUACCCUGGNANUCCNCGCCGUAAACGU
Molecule: ribosomal RNA, 735 nt
Filed under: uncultured Streptomyces sp.
Lineage: Bacteria; Bacillati; Actinomycetota; Actinomycetes; Kitasatosporales; Streptomycetaceae
Description: partial 16S ribosomal RNA
Rfam family: Bacterial small subunit ribosomal RNA
Source: RNAcentral